RNAcentral lists this ribosomal RNA (251 nucleotides) under uncultured bacterium. RNAcentral describes it as "partial 16S ribosomal RNA". It matches the Rfam family "Bacterial small subunit ribosomal RNA", at positions 524 to 776 of the family's 1533-position model. The record is from RNAcentral.
UACGUAGGCAGCGAGCGUUGUUCGGAGUUACUGGGCGUAAAGGGCGCGUAGGCGGCGUGACAAGUCACUUGUGAAAUCUCCGGGCUUAACCCGGAAACUGCCAUUGAUACUAUCUGUCUUGAAUGUCGUGGAGGUAAGCGGAAUAUGUCAUGUAGCGGUGAAAUGCUUAGAUAUGACAUAGAACACCAAUUGCGAAGGCAGCUCACUACUCAAUAUUGACUCUAGAGCGAAAAGCGUGGGGAUCAAACAGG